AGCUGGGCCGAGUGCAAUAGUGUUUACAACUAAUUGAUCACAGCCAGCUACAGGUUCCUUUCCUCCUUCUCCACUCCCACUGCUUCACUUGACUAGCCAAAA
Unclassified non-coding RNA from Microcebus murinus (gray mouse lemur), 102 nucleotides. It matches the Rfam family "Y RNA". Rfam says of the family: Y RNAs are components of the Ro ribonucleoprotein particle (Ro RNP), in association with Ro60 and La proteins. The Y RNAs and Ro60 and La proteins are well conserved, but the function of the Ro RNP is not known. In humans the RNA component can be one of four small RNAs -- hY1, hY3, hY4 and hY5. NCBI's taxonomy places the organism in Eukaryota, Metazoa, Chordata, Mammalia, Primates, Cheirogaleidae. The record is from Ensembl.